This 472-nucleotide ribosomal RNA is filed under the name uncultured organism. RNAcentral describes it as "partial 16S ribosomal RNA". It matches the Rfam family "Bacterial small subunit ribosomal RNA", at positions 334 to 797 of the family's 1533-position model. The record is from RNAcentral.
CACUCCUACGGGAGGCAGCAGUGGGGAAUAUUGCACAAUGGGCGCAAGCCUGAUGCAGCCAUGCCGCGUGUAUGAAGAAGGCCUUCGGGUUGUAAAGUACUUUCAGCGGGGAGGAAGGCGAUAAGGUUAAUAACCUUGUCGAUUGACGUUACCCGCAGAAGAAGCACCGGCUAACUCCGUGCCAGCAGCCGCGGUAAUACGGAGGGUGCAAGCGUUAAUCGGAAUUACUGGGCGUAAAGCGCACGCAGGCGGUCUGUCAAGUCGGAUGUGAAAUCCCCAGGCUCAACCUGGGAACUGCAUUCGAAACUGGCAGGCUAGAGUCUUGUAGAGGGGGGUAGAAUUCCAGGUGUAGCGGUGAAAUGCGUAGAGAUCUGGAGGAAUACCGGUGGCGAAGGCGGCCCCCUGGACAAAGACUGACGCUCAGGUGCGAAAGCGUGGGGAGCAAACAGGAUUAGAUACCCCGGUAGUCCCA